This is a long non-coding RNA of Dermacentor silvarum, 990 nucleotides long. RefSeq lists it as uncharacterized. The transcript is spliced from 3 exons. Lineage: Eukaryota; Metazoa; Arthropoda; Arachnida; Ixodida; Ixodidae. The record is from RefSeq and is a predicted model, not a curated record.
UGUGGACGUCGCGAUGAAAUAAUGCGUAUUAUUAGCGUGCCUCAGCUCGUCCAUUACGCAACCGCAUGUAUGUUGGAUCAACAUCGUCGACGCAGCACUGGCAACUCGGAGAGCUCUUUUCGAUCUCAUCGUACUGUUCAAAAGUGGCGAGGCCUUGGCCCGCAACAGUGUCCACUAAAAGGAGGAGCCCCCAGAAAUGCAGACCCCAUACGAGUGCCUGCAGCAGCAUGGCUGGAUGCUCAUGUCAGGCUUCACCGUGGCAGAGUACCAGGCGGAACCAACGAGGUUAAAAGCUAGCCUUUCCUCGCUGCUUUCCAGGAAGUGAAGUAGUGGGCGAUCAUGUAAGAAUGAACUUGCAACAUGUGAGCAGUAGCCAAAGCUUCAUACAGGUCAUACUGGUGGUAAAAACUGGAAUGCUGAGACAAACCACAUUAUUUAUUUAUUUAAGUAUUAAAUAAUUUACAUUUAUUUGUUUAUACCUCACUAAAGCCUUACAUGCCUCCAGGAAGGAAUUAGGUAAAAUGGGAAAGCAAUAUUAAAUCAAAGUAAACACGUCAUUCAAAAAAGCAUCAUUUGCAUAGCACAAGCAUGAUGUAACAUUUUUUAUUCAAGUGACGUUUCAUACCAAUCCACGAAAAUUCCAAGAAACGAAGCUAUUAAGUUAACAACUCUUACUAAAAAAACAGUGAUAUCACAGUUCUGUUAGUUGCACCUAAUCCAUAACUAAAGUUGGCGAAAUUGACGUAUCAUAUACUGCUCUAAAAUACAAUCAUUAAUUUGUGAGUAGGACGUGCAAAAUGCUUAUAAACAUUGGAACAUUUCACGCAAGCUGUAAAUUCAUAUAUCAAAUUCCUUGACUUAAGACAUAGCUGAUCCAGUCUGCAGAACUGUGAUAUGUGUUUUUAUUGCAGAGUUGGGGAUUAUUAAACUUCAUGCUUUUACUUUUCUUUAAACCUGCCUGUUUUUAAUAAUUUUUACUUUAGGCUCUGA